RNAcentral lists this ribosomal RNA (572 nucleotides) under uncultured Sphingomonadales bacterium. RNAcentral describes it as "bacterial SSU rRNA". It matches the Rfam family "Bacterial small subunit ribosomal RNA", at positions 921 to 1490 of the family's 1533-position model. Lineage: Bacteria; Pseudomonadati; Pseudomonadota; Alphaproteobacteria; Sphingomonadales. The record is from RNAcentral.
CUGCACAAGCGGGUGGAGCAUGUGGUUUAAUUCGAAGCAACGCGCAGAACCUUACCAGCGUUUGACAUGGUAGGACGAUUUCUGGAGACAGAUCUCUUCCCUUACGGGACCUACACACAGGUGCUGCAUGGCUGUCGUCAGCUCGUGUCGUGAGAUGUUGGGUUAAGUCCCGCAACGAGCGCAACCCUCGCCUUUAGUUGCUACCAUUUAGUUGAGCACUCUAGAGGAACUGCCGGUGAUAAGCCGGAGGAAGGUGGGGAUGACGUCAAGUCCUCAUGGCCCUUACACGCUGGGCUACACACGUGCUACAAUGGCGGUGACAGUGGGCAGCAAACUCGCGAGAGUGAGCAAAUCCCAAAAAGCCGUCUCAGUUCGGAUUGUUCUCUGCAACUCGAGAGCAUGAAGGCGGAAUCGCUAGUAAUCGCGGAUCAGCAUGCCGCGGUGAAUACGUUCCCAGGCCUUGUACACACCGCCCGUCACACCAUGGGAGUUGGAUUCACCCGAAGGCGUUGCGCUAACUCGCAAGAGAGGCAGGCGACCACGGUGGGUUUAGCGACUGGGGUGAAGUCGUA